RNAcentral lists this ribosomal RNA (475 nucleotides) under uncultured eukaryote. RNAcentral describes it as "bacterial SSU rRNA". It matches the Rfam family "Eukaryotic small subunit ribosomal RNA", at positions 638 to 1051 of the family's 1831-position model. The record is from RNAcentral.
AUAUGGGUACUGUAUUAAUUACUUCUUUCCUACUGGUUACCUCGACUCUGUUAGUGGAGUAGUGUCGCAAGGCAUCGCUUAGUAUUUUUAUUGCUUUUAGAUGUAGUAAUUGGGUAAAACUGGUUAUGAAACCUAAGGGAUCACAGUAAGGUAUUAAGUGGGGUUCCAGUUCAUUUACUUUGAGUAAAUUAGAGUGUUCAAAGCAGCCUGUAUGGGCAUUGAAUAGAUUAGCAUGGGAUAAUAGAAUAGGAUUCUUAUCUAUUUAUUGGUUUAUAGACUUAGAAUAAUGAUUAAUAGGGAUAGUUGGGGGCACUUGUAUUCAAUAGUCAGAGGUGAAAUUCUAGGAUUUAUUGAAGACAAACUUCAGCGAAAAGCAUUUGCCAAGGAUGUUUUCAUUAAUCAAGAACGAAAGUUAGGGGGAUCGAAGACGAUUAGACACCGUCGUAGUCUUAACUAUAAACUAUGCCGACCAGGG